AGACAAGAAUCAACAAUAUGAAGGGGGACGGAAAGAAAAAGAAUCGGCUUAAGGAUCAACAAUUCGGUAGCAACCAAUAGGAAUAGAAAGGAGGUGACCGCAAGAAAAUGAAGAAAGAAAAGAUGGGUAGGGAAGUGUGCAAAAUCGAAAAGAAGAAAAAAACAAAAAGAAGUAGCAGAAACUCACUAGCAAUAUUUGGCAGAGGAAGAAAAAAAAAUUGACAGAAAAUUGAGAGAAAACAAAAGCUAAAGCCAAAUUUUGGGAAAGGAAUCAGUUUCGGCACCAAUACUGAUCACCUCCCUUGAUCCACUCCUAAAAACUCUCCUAUUAUCCCUCCACAAAACGUCCACUUCCCACCACACCUCAAAUUUCUUAUUUUCCUCCACCAAUCACACAACUACUGAAAUCUCCCUCAUAAUCCUCCUAAAAAUCGACCACAACCUCUCCACACUCCUCAAAUACUCAGAAUUUUGGUCAAACUGUAACACUCAUACUACAUAAGCAGUAAAAAU
This 512-nucleotide long non-coding RNA is filed under the name Gossypium raimondii (Peruvian cotton). RNAcentral describes it as "long non-coding RNA (GRAI_LNC000516)". The record is from RNAcentral. Lineage: Eukaryota; Viridiplantae; Streptophyta; Magnoliopsida; Malvales; Malvaceae.